Molecule: non-coding RNA, 86 nt
Filed under: Marinomonas polaris DSM 16579
Lineage: Bacteria; Pseudomonadati; Pseudomonadota; Gammaproteobacteria; Oceanospirillales; Oceanospirillaceae
Source: RNAcentral
UGUUAUGGUGGGUCUUUGUUGGGCCAGCUUCGGCUGGGCCGUACCUUUGGGCGGUUGUGAGAUCCUGAUUUAGACCCACCACCUUA